Molecule: ribosomal RNA, 429 nt
Filed under: Bacteroidota bacterium
Lineage: Bacteria; Pseudomonadati; Bacteroidota
Description: Bacteroidetes bacterium partial 16S ribosomal RNA
Rfam family: Bacterial small subunit ribosomal RNA
Source: RNAcentral
UAGGGAAUCUUCGGCAAUGGGGGGAACCCUGACCGAGCAACGCCGCGUGAGUGAAGAAGGAUUUCGGUUCGUAAAACUCUGUUGUUAGAGAAGAACAGCGCAUAGAGUAACUGUUAUGCGUGUGACGGUAUCUAACCAGAAAGCCACGGCUAACUACGUGCCAGCAGCCGCGGUAAUACGUAGGUGGCAAGCGUUGUCCGGAUUUAUUGGGCGUAAAGCGAGCGCAGGCGGUCAAUUAAGUCUGAUGUGAAAGCCCCCGGCUCAACCGGGGAGGGUCAUUGGAAACUGAUUGACUUGAGUGCAGAAGAGGAGAGUGGAAUUCCAUGUGUAGCGGUGAAAUGCGUAGAUAUAUGGAGGAACACCAGUGGCGAAGGCGACUCUCUGGUCUGUAACUGACGCUGAGGCUCGAAAGCGUGGGUAGCAAACAGG